This 482-nucleotide ribosomal RNA is filed under the name uncultured bacterium. Its description in RNAcentral is "bacterial SSU rRNA". It matches the Rfam family "Bacterial small subunit ribosomal RNA", at positions 30 to 507 of the family's 1533-position model. The record is from RNAcentral.
AUUGAACGCUGGCGGCAUGCCUUACACAUGCAAGUCGAACGGUAACGGGCCUUCGGGUGCCGACGAGUGGCGAACGGGUGAGUAAUGCAUCGGAACGUACCUUUCAGUGGGGGAUAACGUAGCGAAAGUUACGCUAAUACCGCAUAUUCUGUGAGCAGGAAAGCAGGGGAUCGCAAGACCUUGCGCUGAUUGAGCGGCCGAUGUCAGAUUAGCUAGUUGGUGAGGUAAAGGCUCACCAAGGCGACGAUCUGUAGCGGGUCUGAGAGGAUGAUCCGCCACACUGGAACCGAGACACGGUCCAGACUCCUACGGGAGGCAGCAGUGGGGAAUUUUGGACAAUGGGGGCAACCCUGAUCCAGCCAUGCCGCGUGAGUGAAGAAGGCCUUCGGGUUGUAAAGCUCUUUCGGCCGGGAAGAAAUCGCAUGGGUUAAUACCCUGUGCGGAUGACGGUACCGGCAUAAGAAGCACCGGCUAACUACGUG